CUCAGCAUCCAGAUUUUAACAUUUUAUUUUAGUUAUACAAUACUUGAAAUCAGGUUAUUUUCUUGCUUCUAGCAAUUUGUCUUUGUUUUUGCCUUGUUUCAGAAAGGAGAGGUUUUAAAAGUUCUCUCUAAAAAUAAGGAUGGAUGGUGGCUUGCUAAAAACUCAAAAGGCCAGAAGGGCCUGGUUCCCAAAACCUUCUUGGAGAUGGCUUCUCUGUAUGGUAGUAAGAGAGAGAGAGAGAGAAUGAGGAUGUUGGAGAGAGUGAAGAAGAAGAGUAGGAGUCUGACAUAAAGUCCAGAUGACUGAGAUGCUGCCCUGUCUUCUAGAUAUAGACUGUUUCCUGCAUUGUGAUUCGGAAACUCCUGAUCUUGGAAUUCUGUUUGAAUUGGGUUUGACCUACAUAAGAAAUAAAUCAUGGACCGAAUCAGAGAGUAACCUG
Carassius carassius (crucian carp) is the source of this 439-nucleotide long non-coding RNA. RefSeq lists it as uncharacterized. The transcript has 4 exons. The record is from RefSeq and is a predicted model, not a curated record. NCBI's taxonomy places the organism in Eukaryota, Metazoa, Chordata, Actinopteri, Cypriniformes, Cyprinidae.